This 7684-nucleotide long non-coding RNA is filed under the name Sus scrofa (pig). RNAcentral's name for it is "lncRNA (ENSSSCG00000059137.1)". Lineage: Eukaryota; Metazoa; Chordata; Mammalia; Artiodactyla; Suidae. The record is from RNAcentral.
AUAAUAAUUUUUUUAAAGAGCCCUAGAUUUUUAGAGUCAGGAAGCAGUCUCAUCUAGAAAUAUAACUUGUCAUAAAUGUAUAUUUUUCUGAGAAACAGACUCCGUACUCUUGGUUCUAUUUUUCCUAAACGCUUAAGAUUUCUUUUGAUUUUUUGACUUUGAAGAGUUCUGGACUUUUCUGCUGAAGAUCAAGAUAGCCUUUCCAAAAGGCAAAUACUGACCAUGAAAAUGCUAAGCGUGGAAUAGGAAUAUGUUCAAAAUGUGAUAUACAUGUGCCACCUAGAAACCACUCAAAUAUUUUGAAAGCUUCUUUUCUCCCCAGGGCUCUAUUUUCCAUGACAAAGUCCCACACAUCCCAAAUGGCUGUUUCAGACUUUGUUGAGCAUCAGAAUACUGCCACCAUCAGCAGUUUGGAAUCAGACAGACCUGUAUUCAGAUCCCACCUCUGUUGCCUAUGAGCUGUGCUGAUGGAGGGCAAAUUUACGCAAACUCCCUGGUCCUCAGUUUCUUCAGUUGUGAAAUGGGGUGAUUGAUCAUACCCACCUCAUAGAGUUGUGGUGAGGAUUAAAUGAUGGCACUUCACUUGGUGAGGUUUAAAUGAGUUUCAGUGAUCUUGUUCUUGGAAUAGUGUGAGUGUCCAUGGAAUCCUAGCUUGUGUGUAUGUAUUAGAAAUCUAGAAACUCAGGAACAUAUGGCCCCAUGGAGACCAGUGCCUCUUGUUGUCUUUAAAACUCCAUCUCAGUUGUGAUACAUCAUUUCCUGUGUCAGUGUAAGGAAUUCACUCCUCUGAAGUGAAGUUGUGUAAAAUCCUCCUUUUCUGGAGUGGACAGCCCAGAAAUCCAGUUCCAUGUAUUUGUCUCAUUUCCCUUUGGACUUAACUUUGCAACUUCCCUGGGGGGAAAGAGUGAGAUGUGAAAACCGGGCUUCAGGACCACUUGACUGAUGGAGGAAGGCCCUGCCCAGUGCCACCUGGGUGCCCAGGGGAGCAGGACCGGGUCUGUGUUUCUGGAAGGCCUGGACAUCUCUCUGUGUCUUCAGGGAAGAAGGAAGAAGAGGAAGUUGUGCGAAAGGCAAAUUUUUGAGUCAGAAUUUUUCACUGGAAUCUUGGCCUCCUUGCAUAUCUUUGGCAAGUCAUCUUCUUGUGUCUUUGAACCCCAGUUGUCUCAGUUAUAAAAUGGAGUUCUCUGCUUCAGCAGUGGUUGUGUGGAUCAACGGAGACCGUGGCUUUGCUUUUGAACUGCAGAGGGCACGCAGUAUUCAUUGAUAUUCUCUAGAGAGAGUGUCCAAUUUCUCUUAGCAUCCCCGCAGACACCUGAACAAGCAGGGAGCUGCCCUGAACACUCUGUAACCUCUCCUGGAGCAACAGCUGGGUCGAGGGAGAGUCUGAGGAGCGUCUAGCCCCACCGUCUUGUUCUCAGACCCCCUGUGCUGCUCCUGGGCCCAGAAUGUGGUCCUUGGCCUGUGUUGCAGCAUCCCUCGGAGCACGUGGGAAAGCCCGACCCGACAAGAGGCAGUUCGAGGAGUCACAGCCCUUUGUGCCACCCUGCGCCUUCAUGCACAUCCUUACGGGGCCCCAGGGCACGCCAGCCAGUGUCCAUGGUGUGGGAACAUAGUCUGAACAGACGGAUGUGGGGUUUUUAAGGUCAGUGAGAAGUCCACUGGGCCUUCCCUGAGUCCGGCCCAGCACUUGCAGUCGAACUUCCUGUAAUAAUGGGAAUGUUUAUAUGUCCAUGCCGGGCACCCGGUAGCUUUUAGCCACAUGUGAGAGGAGGACUCUUGAAAUGGGGCUCAUAUGAUUGAGGGGACUGAAUUUUUUUUUUUUUUUUUCCUUUUUGGCCACCACAGCAUAUGAUAUAGCUGGGCCAGAGAUCAGAUCUGAGCCUCAGUUGUAACCUAUGCUGCAUCUGUAGCAAGGCCGGAUCCUUUAACCCACUGUGCCGGCUUGGGGAUUGAACCUGCAUCCUGGUGCUACAGAGCCAUACCUAUCCCCUAGCACUGCACCAGGAACGCCAAGGAACUGAAUUUUAAAUUUUAUUUACUUGUAAUUAAUUCAAAUUUAAACAGUAACCUGUGGCCUGUGCCGCCAGAGGGGACAGUAUUGUAGAGCCCUGGAAAAGUCUGAGAAAGUUAGGAGGGUACCCGCACAGGCCAAAGGCUGGACCUCCCUUCCUUAGAAAGAACUGCGCGACUCAGAAGACCUGGUUUCAGCUCUGCCUCCCACUGUGGGUGGAUUUGUCACGGCCCUUGGCCUCCUCUCUGAUGUAUCAAACAGAAACACAGGGAGGAUUGCAUUAAAUUCUUUACAGUGCUAAAUUCUUAACUCUCUCUGAUCUGCCUUUUAUUUGCCUAGUUAUACUAGUGUGCUAUGGUUGCUCUAACAAAGUGCCACAGACAAAGUGCGUCAUAGGGGCUUCAAACAACAGCAAUUUAUGUCCUUAGCUUUGGAGGCCAGAAUUCCAAAAUCAGUUCCAUCGGGUCCUAGUCAUGGUGUCAGCAGGACUCGUUUGUGCUGGGAGCUCUAGGGGAAAAUCAGUGUCUGGUGGCUGCUGACAUUCCUUGGCUAGGGCUGUGUCACCGUCCCUGCCCCCGUGGCCAUAGGUCCUUAUCUUCUGUGUUUGAUCGCCCUUUGCCGGACACUUGUGAUGGCAUUUAGGGCCCAUAGAUGAUCCAGGAUAAUCUCCCUAUCUCAAGAUUUUAAAUUUAAUCACAUCUACAAAGACCCCUUUUAGCAUAUAAGGUCACAGUCACUGGUUCCAGGUGUUAGGACCUGAUGUCUUUGGGGCUCAUGAUUCGGCCUCAUACACGUAGUGAUAUUGAGGGAUGGUGGGUUUGCUUCACAUCCGAUACUGUGGCGUGAAAUUGGAUGGGUGAAAAUUGCAGGCUGCACACAGGCUCUCCUGGGGAGGAUUUUCCCACUGUUCUGAAUGGGGACCGAGUUGGGUUUUUUUAUUUUUAAAUUCCCCUUCCCUGUUCCCUCGUUGAUUUGUUUAUGCCAGAGCAUCUUUACUAAAAGACUGAUGAACUCAUGAACAUGCCCCAAUUCACAUUCUCCUGGUAGGGAAUUAAUCCCCCGAUCCCCAGCCAUCUCCGAAAUGUGUGGAAGGGGCUUUGGUUGCGAUUUGAGUCAAGAAGACCCCAAACUGUAUUGCCUGGGAGUGAGAGGAGAGAGCAUUUGCUGCAUCAGCUGGUAAGUGAUUAUUUUCUAGUGGCGGACUCCUAAAUUUGAAACGAUAAAAGAUUGGCCCUGACACAGUCCAGGAACAGCUUGUAACUGAUCUGGAACGUCAUGUUUUACUGUUCCUUCAUCAAACUGGAGAGCAGUGGUUGCGGAAGUGGGUUCUGUAAAUAUUGCUUGGAAGCUUUCAUGUUUCCACAGAAAACAGAUGCCAAGUGUUUUCAUCAUUAUCGAUGUUUGAAGUUACUGGAUUAAGCACUCGUCUACUCCCUGGAACAGCCAAAUGUCAGCAGUGGCCUUGGGUGGGGAGGAGAUGGAGGGUGGGGGAAGUAAAGAGAAUUUGUAUAAGUUUGCGGAGUAAGUUAGCUGGAGGGCCUUCGUUUUCUGCAAGUGAGGCCUAAAAGUGAAGUAUUUAUCAUCUCAGAGAUAGAGAAACAGAAUCAUCAUUAACAUGAGUCACAAUGCUGUGUUGUUCAACAGGGAACAAGAUGACUUAGGGGCAGAAUAAAACGACUUCAUUUGUGUCUCUUAGGAACACAGCGUUCCGUGGUCUGCUGGUCUGCAUAAGCCCUUGGGUAAAAGAAUGGCCACGUGUCUGUUCUGUUCCCCAAGGUGAUCGGCGGCUUUGUUACUGCCGUCCCUCUGGGGUUGCCUUUCAGAUAAUUAACUGAUGAUGGCGAUGGUGUGUUUCUUCAGGUCCAGGCACUGUGCUUUACUUGUGCGAUCGUCUAAUCCUCACAUUGUCCUCUAGGGUAAGUGUCAUUGUCCCUGUUUUAUAGAUGAGGAAGACAAGGCUGGAGAGGUUUGGCGACUGCCAGCUCGCUACUAGGUGUCCCAGCCGAGGUCUGACCCUUUGGCUUCUGAUCCAGAGCCCGGCUCUUUGUCCCUCGCUCUCUCCUCUCUCAUUAGAUGAGCUUGGGAAUUCCCUUCACUCUCGCUCAAAAGCCCACGUAAUUCCUUUGGCAAAGUUUGCCCCGCCGGGUUCAUUCAUGGCCAUUGUUAGGCAGGUGAGGGUGCCUGUAAGGUUUUAGCUGCUUUGUGAAGUCUGAGAUACAGAUAUGUUUCCCCUGCCCCCUCCGGCAGGAAGGAUAAUUUCCCCUCAGAUUCCUAUCUUUUUCUGACCGAGGAGUUAACACCCUGGUUUUCAAGGUGUGCUUGUAGUGGGCCCUUGAGUUCUGCAGGCUGGGGCGGUAGAAUACCACGUUCACACAUGCCUUCGUUCCCUUAGCAGGUGUUUGCGGAGCUCCCAUCCAGGCCAGGUGUUGGGGACACACUUGUCCUCAGCCUCCUGGAGCCCGCAGAGUUUUUUAACAAGGGAGCGAUGGGCAUGUUAGGCCGGACAGUUCCUCCCUGUGUGGGCCUGUCCGGCUCAUGCUGGGUCUCACUCCUCCCUGCCCCUGACCCAUUCAAUUCCCAAGCAGGGAAAAAGCGAAAAAUGCCCGCACACACUUUCAUAGGCCUCCAGAGGGCGCCCCUGCCCCCUGAAUUUGUUAGAAACAGAAAAGUUUGGAUGCACGACUUGGGUGUGGUGCACACUUGUCUUUUUCUAGGAAUUUGGCCCAUUUUAAGUGAGGACAAUAGAAGGAGGAAUUUAAAAAGCAGAAGGACCACCAAAUUCCUUUAUCAGAGUCCUGAACUGAGAAGUUGAGGUUUGGGAUGCUGCCUGCUGGGCGGGACCAGGAAGACUGCCUUCCUCCUCAUCCUCGGACCCCCCCCCCACCCCCGCUUCCCUGCCCCCAUCUUGAUCAGAGGGUAAAUCAGAUGAACCUGAACGACUGAGCCUGAGCCAGAGGCUGAGGGAGACCCUGGCCAGGAGGCGUGGAGAGGGGCUAGUGACCCAAAGCUCCGUGGGGGAAGGGCAGGGGACAAGGACUCCUGGAUGAGGCUGAUCUUGAGGAGACUGAUCGGCAGCUGGAGGGCCGCCUCUUUUCCCCACCCUGCAGACAGAGCGUGUGCUGAUUCAGCUCAUAGCAAGCCUUUCCCAGCACCUCCCACCCGCCCUCCGUACUGUUAACGGCAUAGCCAAAGAUUUACCCAGAGAAGGUGGCUGGGGCCCUGGCUUCAGUAAAGCUCAGCAUCUGGCCUUCUUUCCCUCAUGAAACUUCCUAAGUGCUGAGCACUGUCCAGGGUCUGGGAGAGAAGGAAGUAAACAGUCUUUGCCUCCGUGGAGUUUGGAGACCAGCAGGAGUGACAGACCGUUUCAAGAAGCCUGACUCCUUGGAACAGGCAAAUGCCAGUGGUGACCUGGGGAGGGGAGAUGUUGGACUCGCAUGUGCGGGCGAGAGUGUGUGUGGGGGCAGAACCAUCACGCCCAGCUGGUGGAGACCGAGCAUGGUACAGCCUCUACGGAGGAGAACAAAGGUUAAGAUUCCUGUACCUUAGGACUCAGGGAUGCUGUUCUUACUGAUACACUGCAGAGAAACUCCGCUAGGAAUAUGGAGUCGUGUACCGAGCCUGUUCAUGGCAGCUUCCUCUGUAGCCGUUAAAGCAUCCUCCUCAGUGCUGAACAGGAGAAUGAACGAAUACGUUCACACAUCAGGAGGUGUCUGUGAAAAUGUGUGAACCGAAACUUCAUGCCUGUGGACGUGUCUCACGAAUCUGGUCAUGAACAACAAAAGCAAGUUGCAGAGUAAUACGUGCAGGAUGAUCCCACUGAUACCAAGUUUAAAAACACACCGAAGAAGGCAACAUAUUGCUUAGGCAUACAAGCAUAUAUAGGAAAGAUGGAAUGAAGUGCAUAGGAGUGAAAAGCCCUGAAUUUAAAUUAGCAGGUAACUUUAGGGAGGAAGAAGGGGAUUUGUUUGCAUGGGCAUGCAAGGAUCGUUAACCAUGGCCCUGUUUUAUAUUCAAAGGUGAGUGGGAUGGUGGGUACGUUGGUAUUGUUGCAUUAUCAUUUAUAUUCAGUGCCUACACAUCAUCCGCUUCAUCUGUUCCCUUCUGUCCUUCCUGAUAAAACCUCCCUUUUGUUUAGGCAUCUACCCUCCCUUUCGGCAUCCUUUGGGGGCCUCAGGGAAGCUGACCCACCCUCAGGCUUGGGGUACAUGGACUCAUCAGAUUAAGGACCCAUCCUUCUUACCAGCAGUUGGUUCAGAAAAGGCCAUGUGUCCAUUUGCGUUCAAUUAAAGUUGGCAAGGUUUGCUGAAGUCUUCCGGGAAGCAGCACUGUCUCUUAAGAAGAGAGCUGCAGGAAGACUCUCUGUCUCUGUCGCCCAGGCUCUGUCUUUCUUCCUGGCCCCAGAAGAGGAAGCUGAUAGCCUGGCUUGCCAUGGCCGUCCUCCUCCAGCAGUGGGCGGAACAGCCUUACAAAGCAACCAGCACUGUGAGUGGUGGAGUGGAGAGACGAUCAGGUGUGUAGAUUGUAUCAUGCUGGCUCUGAGAGCCGCCUCACCUUGGCUCUUCUAAGAAUGGGAGCCAGUAAACAUUCCUGAGAUGUAAGCUACCUUGGUCUGGGCUUUCCAUUGUCUUGCUGCUGCGAGCAUUCUCUCUGUGCCACAGAGGUUGCUAUGGAAGCACAUAGCACACAGCAGUUUCCUAAUCAGGAAAGCUAAGUGUUUCUUAAUUCACUCAACUUUAAGCUUUUCUCCUGUUUUCACUAUAAACAUUUGUCCUGCUCGCAAGGGUUAGCCAUGGAGGAAAACUCAUGAACAGGAAGGAAACCAAAGGUUUAAUGGAAAAGAUCUGGAAGAAUCUGGAGUGGUUGACUUUUUCUGAGAACACGUGUAUUAGUUUCCUGUGUUUGCUGCAGCAAAUUAUUAUAAACCAGGGAGAGAAACAACAGUAUUUUUUGAUCUCCCAGUCCCGGGGCCAGAAACCCAAAAUCAAAAUGUCAGCAGGGCAGCGUGCCCUGCAAAGGCUUAUUACCUAAGGGAGGUUUCUGUCCCUUGACUCUUCCGGCUUCCGGUGGCUCUUGGCAUCAUUCUCAUCUCUACCUGCACCUUCACAGAGUCUCCUCCUUGUGUGUCUGAGUGUCCCCUCUUCUGUUUCGUAUAAGGACACGUGUCAUUGGAUUUAGGGCCGCCUGGACAUUCAGGAUGGUCUCAUCUCAAAAUCUUUAACUUAAUUAUAUCUGCAAAGACCGGUUUGCCAAAUAAGGUCAUGUUCACAGGUUUGGGGAUGUGGACAUACCUUUUUUUUUUUUUUUUUUUUUUUUUUUUUUUGGUGCCAGCAUUCACCCCACUAUAAAAUAGUUUUCCUCUGUCAUGAUUUAUAUUGCAAACAGGUAACAUAGUUCUCAAAAGUGGUUCCUGAGUCAUAAAAAUAGGAAUAAAUCUGAGUUCCCAUAGUGGCUCAGCGGAAAUGAAUCUGACUAGCAUCCAUGGGGACGCAGGUUCAAUCCCUGGCCUUGCUCUAUGGGUUAAGGAUCUGGUGUUGCCAUGAGCUGUGGUGUGGGUCACAGAUGUGGCUUGAAUCUGGCCUUGCUGUGGCUGUGGUAUAGGCUAGUGAUUACAGCUCUGAUUCGAUCCCUGGCCUGGGAACCUCCCUGUGACGAGGGUGCGGCCCUAAAAAGACC